This 222-nucleotide long non-coding RNA is filed under the name Mytilus galloprovincialis (Mediterranean mussel). Lineage: Eukaryota; Metazoa; Mollusca; Bivalvia; Mytilida; Mytilidae. The record is from RNAcentral.
GGGCUAUGUUGCAGUUUUUGCUAAAAUUGUGCAUGAAACCUUGGCUUGUUGAAUUACAACUGCAAAUCAAAAUCGAUUUUUUUAUAUCAUUAAAACAGAAAUUUAUCUAUCAACAACAUAUAGUUUUUUAAGAAAAAUCUAUGGAGUAGAAUUAGAGAUUUGACGAUUUGAAGACAAAUUUUAGAAGGUUUCAGGCCGAUUUUAUGUGCUUUCUAUACAAAU